This 377-nucleotide ribosomal RNA is filed under the name uncultured bacterium. Its description in RNAcentral is "bacterial SSU rRNA". It matches the Rfam family "Bacterial small subunit ribosomal RNA", at positions 47 to 420 of the family's 1533-position model. The record is from RNAcentral.
CCUAACACAUGCAAGUCGAACGGUAACAGGAAGAAGCUUGCUUCUUUGCUGACGAGUGGCGGACGGGUGAGUAAUGUCUGGGAAACUGCCUGAUGGAGGGGGAUAACUACUGGAAACGGUAGCUAAUACCGCAUAACGCCGCAAUACCAAAGAGGGGGACCUUCGGGCCUCUUGCCAUCGGAUGUGCCCAGAUGGGAUUAGCUAGUAGGUGGGGUAACGGCUCACCUAGGCGACGAUCCCUAGCUGGUCUGAGAGGAUGACCAGCCACACUGGAACUGAGACACGGUCCAGACUCCUACGGGAGGCAGCAGUGGGGAAUAUUGCACAAUGGGCGCAAGCCUGAUGCAGCCAUGCCGCGUGUAUGAAGAAGGCCUUCG